This 293-nucleotide ribosomal RNA is filed under the name uncultured bacterium. RNAcentral's name for it is "partial 16S ribosomal RNA". It matches the Rfam family "Archaeal small subunit ribosomal RNA", at positions 455 to 747 of the family's 1478-position model. The record is from RNAcentral.
GUGCCAGCCGCCGUGGUAAUACCGGCAGCUCAAGUGAUGUCCAAUAUUAUUGGGCCUAAAGCGUCCGUAGCUGGCCGACCAAGUCUCCCGGGAAAUCCACCCGCCCAACGGGUGGGCGUCCGGUAGAAACUGGCCGGCUUGGAACCGGAAGGCUCAGAGAGUACGUCCGGGGUAGGAGUGAAAUCCCGUAGUCCCGAACGGACCACCGAUGGCGAAAGCACUUCGAGAAAACGGAUCCGACAGUGAGGGACGAAAGCCAGGGUCUCCAACCGGAUUAGAAACCCGAGUAGUCC